AUACGGAGGGGGCUAGCGUUGUUCGGAAUUACUGGGCGUAAAGCGCACGUAGGCGGAUUAAAAAGUUAGAGGUGAAAUCCCAGGGCUUAACCCUGGAACUGCCUUUAAAACUAGUAGUCCAGAGUUCGAGAGAGGUGAGUGGAAUUCCAAGUGUAGAGGUGAAAUUCGUAGAUAUUUGGAGGAACACCAGUGGCGAAGGCGGCUCACUGGCUCGAUACUGACGCUGAGGUGCGAAAGCGUGGGGAGCAAACAGGAUUAGAAACCCCAGUAGUCC
RNAcentral lists this ribosomal RNA (274 nucleotides) under uncultured bacterium. RNAcentral describes it as "partial 16S ribosomal RNA". It matches the Rfam family "Bacterial small subunit ribosomal RNA", at positions 523 to 796 of the family's 1533-position model. The record is from RNAcentral.